GGAUGAACUGAGGGUAGCGGAGAAAUUCCAAUCGAACCUGGAGAUAGCUGGUUCUCUCCGAAAUAGCUUUAGGGCUAGCCUCAAGUGAUGAUUAUUGGAGGUAGAGCACUGUUUGGACGAGGGGCCCCUCUCGGGUUACCGAAUUCAGACAAACUCCGAAUGCCAAUUAAUUUAACUUGGGAGUCAGAACAUGGGUGAUAAGGUCCGUGUUCGAAAGGGAAACAGCCCAGACCACCAGCUAAGGUCCCAAAAUAUAUGUUAAGUGGAAAAGGAUGUGGCGUUGCCCAGACAACUAGGAUGUUGGCUUAGAAGCAGCCAUCAUUUAAAGAGUGCGUAAUAGCUCACUAGUCGAGUGACACUGCGCCGAAAAUGUACCGGGGCUAAACAUAUUACCGAAGCUGUGGAUUGUCCUUUGGACAAUGGUAGGAGAGCGUUCUAAGGGCGUUGAAGCAUGAUCGUAAGGACAUGUGGAGCGCUUAGAAGUGAGAAUGCCGGUGUGAGUAGCGAAAGACGGGUGAGAAUCCCGUCCACCGAUUGACUAAGGUUUCCAGAGGAAGGCUCGUCCGCUCUGGGUUAGUCGGGUCCUAAGCUGAGGCCGACAGGCGUAGGCGAUGGAUAACAGGUUGAUAUUCCUGUACCACCUAUAAUCGUUUUAAUCGAUGGGGGGACGCAGUAGGAU
Molecule: ribosomal RNA, 679 nt
Filed under: Staphylococcus aureus
Lineage: Bacteria; Bacillati; Bacillota; Bacilli; Caryophanales; Staphylococcaceae
Description: partial 23S ribosomal RNA
Rfam family: Bacterial large subunit ribosomal RNA
Source: RNAcentral